GACAGAGGGUGCAAACGUUGUUCGGAAUUACUGGGCGUAAAGCGCGUGUAGGCCGCUUCGCAAGUCGGAUGUGAAAGCCCUGGGCUCAACCCAGGAAGUGCAUUCGAAACUGCAGAGCUGGAGUCCUGGAGAGGAAGGCGGAAUUCUCGGUGUAGAGGUGAAAUUCGUAGAUAUCGAGAGGAACACCGGUGGCGAAGGCGGCCUUCUGGACAGUGACUGACGCUGAGACGCGAAAGCGUGGGGAGCAAACAGG
This 253-nucleotide ribosomal RNA is filed under the name uncultured bacterium. Its description in RNAcentral is "partial 16S ribosomal RNA". It matches the Rfam family "Bacterial small subunit ribosomal RNA", at positions 524 to 776 of the family's 1533-position model. The record is from RNAcentral.